UACGUAGGGGGCGAGCGUUGUCCGAAUUUAUUGGGCGUAAAGCGCGUGUAGGCGGCUCUUUAAGUCAGAUGUGAAAUCCUGCGGCUCAACCGCAGAACUGCAUUUGAUACUGGAGGGCUUGAGUGUGGGAGAGGAAAGUGGAAUUCCUGGUGUAGCGGUGAAAUGCGUAGAUAUCAGGAGGAACACCCGUGGCGAAGGCGGCUUUCUGGCCCACCACUGACGCUGAGACGCGAAAGCUAGGGGAGCGAACGGG
This 253-nucleotide ribosomal RNA is filed under the name uncultured bacterium. Its description in RNAcentral is "partial 16S ribosomal RNA". It matches the Rfam family "Bacterial small subunit ribosomal RNA", at positions 524 to 776 of the family's 1533-position model. The record is from RNAcentral.